This 66-nucleotide transfer RNA is filed under the name Antarctoneptunea aurora. RNAcentral's name for it is "tRNA-Phe". Lineage: Eukaryota; Metazoa; Mollusca; Gastropoda; Neogastropoda; Buccinidae. The record is from RNAcentral.
CAUUGAUAGCUUAAAUAUAGAGCAUAGCAUUGAAGAUGCUAAGGCGGCAAUCUUUGCCUCAAAGCA